This 424-nucleotide ribosomal RNA is filed under the name uncultured bacterium. RNAcentral describes it as "bacterial SSU rRNA". It matches the Rfam family "Bacterial small subunit ribosomal RNA", at positions 355 to 776 of the family's 1533-position model. The record is from RNAcentral.
UGGGGAAUAUUGGACAAUGGGGGCAACCCUGAUCCAGCCACGCCGCGUGAGUGAUGAAGGCCUUCGGGUCGUAAAGCUCUGUGGGGAGGGACGAACGUCCGGCAUGACCUGCCGGGGUGACGGUACCUCCUUAGCAAGCACCGGCUAACUUCGUGCCAGCAGCCGCGGUAAUACGAAGGGUGCAAACGUUGCUCGGAAUCAUUGGGCGUAAAGCGCACGUAGGCGGCUUCGCAAGUCGGAUGUGAAAUCCCUCGGCUCAACCAAGGACGUGCAUUCGAAACUGCGAGGCUUGAGUACAGAAGAGGAUCGCGGAAUUCCCGGUGUAGAGGUGAAAUUCGUAGAUAUCGGGAGGAACACCAGUGGCGAAGGCGGCGAUCUGGGCUGAUACUGACGCUGAGGUGCGAAAGCGUGGGGAGCAAACAGG